AUUAUUAUAGUUUAAAUUAUAAAAUAUCAAAUUGCAAAUUUGAAGAUUAAUUUCAUAAUUAUAAUAAUU
Molecule: transfer RNA, 69 nt
Filed under: Apis mellifera mellifera (German honeybee)
Lineage: Eukaryota; Metazoa; Arthropoda; Insecta; Hymenoptera; Apidae
Description: tRNA-Cys
Source: RNAcentral